UUAUACAAUGAUUAGAAAAACAACAUGUAAUGCCCAGAAAAUUCAUCUUAAUCAGAGCCAUCAUUAUAAUUUGACCCUGAUUAACAACACAUUAAAAUGCUAAACCGCUAAUUAGGAUUCCCAGGAAAAAAAAAAAAAAAAACUAUAGGUAACAGGUGUUCAGUUUAAUGGUAUACAUAUGCAUUCUGACAACUCUGCCGAGAGGAAUUUAGAGUUUUAAUGGCAUAAUUGCAUGUUGGAACGAGAACACUGUAAUCUUUCAACAACUUGAUUCAGAAGUUAAAGCUAAGCCAGACAUACGGUGAGGAAAAAAAAGAAUAUUGCAUAAAAAUGUCUAGUUUGCUGCUGUGAGCACUGAGAGGCUGUGGGAAACUGAACAGCAGAGGCAUGUAGACAAAAGUACUAUGUAGGUAAAAAAAAAAAAAAACAUCACAGACAAAACAACAAAGGUCUUCGGUGUGAAACAGAGACAAAAAACAGCGGCAAAGGUAACAAACUAAAACUGUAUUUCACAUUGUAAGGCAGACAGAAAGAUUAAAGCAGAGUCUGUAGGUUUCAGAUCACAUCAGUGUUUACUUCAACCGAGCAAGCAACCCCAGAGGAGUGAAAAUCUGAAAGAAGCACAAAAGCUGCACAGUGCGGACUCUGAUCGGAGGGCGAGCUCUCGCCUGCACCUCACUCCUGUUUGCUUUCCCUGGCGAGGUUAUUGAUUCAACUUUGCUCUCUGAAGUCAGCGAUCAGACACGAGCACCGUCGGUAUAGGUGGGUCGGAGGUGAUGUUUGAGUGAAGGGUCAGGUGAAUUGAGUUAAUGCAGUGAUUUCAGCCAUGGGAAGAAGAGAGAAGAAAAGAAGAGAUAGCACUCCGGAAGACAUCUUUUGAUUCAUCUACUCUGCUAAUUGUCUGUUUGGCAAUACGGGAAAUGUUUCCUUCUGUCUGGCCGUCAUCAGUGUGUACGAAUGCAGGAAUACAGCCACUUUUGGAGGGUGCCGGCAUGCAGAUUUUAUGGCUGCCUCCCUCUCUUCCUCUCUGUGUCUUGCCUGCUAGUUUGCUCGCCUGCUGCACCCCUCAAGCGCUGCUGGAAUGCUGGGGCGAGAUAAAGAAGAGGCCCCGCUCUGAGCAGAGAUAGCUGCUGAGAUUAUCUUGCUGACCAGCUAGCAUCAGCCUGUCCAGCCUGAAGCUCCUGUGCUUGCGGUGAAACCACCAGCUCCCUCCCAGUGAUCUGAAUCUGCCAGUCCGGACUGCCAAACGCAUGGCUAACCAAGCUAUCUAGCUAACAGCAACCAAAGUCUAGCAGCAGUUAGCAGUUUCUCUGGUAAAAUGCUGCCCCCCUUUAUGUUUUGAAUUGGCCAAAUCUUACAUAUUUUGACUUUAAGAUGCAAAACAUGUGCACUAUUCAUGCUUUAUCAGUGGUGUCCCCUAAUCCUGAAUGUUUCUCUCAGCACUGCUGAUGCUUUAAAACUCAACAGAGCUUGUUGUUGUGUGUCAAAUUACUAGCAGUAAGCUGUUGAAAAACUUAAAUCACAUAUCAGUACAGUUUUUAACUGUAAGUUAGUGUGAAUAUAUGUUCUCAAUGCUUUAACACCAUGUUAACCAGGAUGCACCAGGGCUUCAAUCAGGAAAUUAAAUGAUUACUUCAACAACUACUGACUACUACUAAUAAUGUCUUUCAAUAUGCGAGCCAUCGCUCGGUGGAUGUGGCUAAAUUAGCUCGGUGCAGGCUGUGAUUCAUAAGUACAAUACAUCUUCAUUAUUAUCUGUGACUAAACUGUACAGCAGUAAGUAAUUGUCCACUCAGAAAUUACUCAUGCAACAUGUAGCCCGUAGCGAGGAGUGCAAGGCUGUGAGCCACAGUGCUCAAUACAAUAAACACUUAACAGCACUGAAACUACUGAUAGUGUAUCAAAAAUUGGAGGCCUGUUAGUUCAAAUUUGA
Molecule: long non-coding RNA, 1933 nt
Organism: Acanthopagrus latus (yellowfin seabream)
Lineage: Eukaryota; Metazoa; Chordata; Actinopteri; Spariformes; Sparidae
Exons: 3
Source: RefSeq, a predicted model, not a curated record